This 237-nucleotide long non-coding RNA is filed under the name Volvox carteri. RNAcentral's name for it is "long non-coding RNA (VCAR_LNC001959)". The record is from RNAcentral. Lineage: Eukaryota; Viridiplantae; Chlorophyta; Chlorophyceae; Chlamydomonadales; Volvocaceae.
UGGCGUGUGGAGAAGAUGAUGAUGGUGGGGUUUUAGGGUUUUGGGGUUUUAGGGAUUUGAGGGGAAAAGGCAGUAUAUAUAGAGUUUCACCAACACAAAUUCACUGUCGUGACAAACAGGCGGAAUAAAGGGAGGGGGGAAGUACGACACAAACACACACGCACACACAACUACAUGUCUACACGUCAUGCACUCCAAAAUAAGAACGUGUCCAUCCCAUGGAAACGGAAGGUCAUC